UGUAAGGCUGUUUUUGCUAUUGCACUGCAGCAUACAAACAUCUACAGAGGGUGACGGCUGUGUCCUACGAAGAAAAUACCCUCCUUGUUCUACCUUGUCCCCUUCCUCAGCACCUUUUUCCACCAUAAAUUCAUAUUGGUUUACCUUAGUAACUGUGCUACAGAACACAUUACAUGUAACUGUAAGAGGACGUUUGAGUUUACAAUGUUCCUGUAGAAUACGACACCUGGGAAAAGCCUUAUGGGAAACAUGCAUCUCAUGUUGUGUAAAAUC
RNAcentral lists this long non-coding RNA (273 nucleotides) under Mytilus galloprovincialis (Mediterranean mussel). The record is from RNAcentral. Lineage: Eukaryota; Metazoa; Mollusca; Bivalvia; Mytilida; Mytilidae.